RNAcentral lists this ribosomal RNA (1017 nucleotides) under uncultured bacterium. RNAcentral describes it as "bacterial SSU rRNA". It matches the Rfam family "Bacterial small subunit ribosomal RNA", at positions 355 to 1375 of the family's 1533-position model. The record is from RNAcentral.
UGAGGAAUAUUGGUCAAUGGGCGAGAGCCUGAACCAGCCAAGUAGCGUGAAGGAUGACUGCCCUAUGGGUUGUAAACUUCUUUUAUAAAGGAAUAAAGUCGGGUAUGGAUACCCGUUUGCAUGUACUUUAUGAAUAAGGAUCGGCUAACUCCGUGCCAGCAGCCGCGGUAAUACGGAGGAUCCGAGCGUUAUCCGGAUUUAUUGGGUUUAAAGGGAGCGUAGAUGGAUGUUUAAGUCAGUUGUGAAAGUUUGCGGCUCAACCGUAAAAUUGCAGUUGAUACUGGAUAUCUUGAGUGCAGUUGAGGCAGGCGGAAUUCGUGGUGUAGCGGUGAAAUGCUUAGAUAUCACGAAGAACCCCGAUUGCGAAGGCAGCCUGCUAAGCUGUAACUGACGUUGAGGCUCGAAAGUGUGGGUAUCAAACAGGAUUAGAUACCCUGGUAGUCCACACGGUAAACGAUGGAUACUCGCUGUUGGCGGUAUACUGUCAGCGGCCAAGCGAAAGCAUUAAGUAUCCCACCUGGGGAGUACGCCGGCAACGGUGAAACUCAAAGGAAUUGACGGGGGCCCGCACAAGCGGAGGAACAUGUGGUUUAAUUCGAUGAUACGCGAGGAACCUUACCCGGGCUUAAAUUGCAGACGAAUUACCUGGAAACAGGUAAGCCGCAAGGCUGUUGUGAAGGUGCUGCAUGGUUGUCGUCAGCUCGUGCCGUGAGGUGUCGGCUUAAGUGCCAUAACGAGCGCAACCCUUAUCUUUAGUUACUAACAGGUCAUGCUGAGGACUCUAGAGAGACUGCCGUCGUAAGAUGUGAGGAAGGUGGGGAUGACGUCAAAUCAGCACGGCCCUUACGUCCGGGGCUACACACGUGUUACAAUGGGGGGUACAGAAGGCGGCUACCUGGUGACAGGAUGCUAAUCCCAAAAACCUCUCUCAGUUCGGAUCGAAGUCUGCAACCCGACUUCGUGAAGCUGGAUUCGCUAGUAAUCGCGCAUCAGCCAUGGCGCGGUGAAUACGUUCCC